GCUUCUCUAUAAUGAAUUCUUAGUUUUGCGCCAUGAGUCCGUCUGCUUCCAUAGGAUGUCGACGCGUUGGCCUUCUGGAGCCUUCCAUCCUUUUCGAUCCGUGUCUCACAAACGCUUUUCUUCCUCUCAAUCCUCACGUUUUCUGGCUCUGAUCUCGAGUUCUCCGUCUCUCUCUCGCUUUCUUGCUAAGAACAACGAACCAGUCAAAAUUUGUGUAGAUAUUUUUCUGGAAAAGUAGAAACGAUGUGCUGUUCUUCCUUCCUUCUUCCUCCCCAUCCGUUGGACAACAUCUCUUUCAUUUUGACCUCUCCCUUGGAAACCUAUCGGAGAUCUCUUCAGGUAAAAGAAGAACCCAUAAGAUAUAUGUUCAACUCGAUUCCUCGGGUAAAACUCAUCUUCUUCCCUGAUUUGGAUGGGUUUUCGUUUUGCAUCAAUUUUGAUAAAAAAUUGUGAAAUUUGGGAUGUGAGUAUUGAUGGGGUCGAUUUUGUGCUAGCCGAUAACCUUUGACAACUCGCUGGAACCGAAUGUCGCCAUUGUUGAGAGCUAAGUUUCAUUUGUCAAAGACGAUGGUGAAUUUAGGGAUGUUAUGUAUUUGGGGUAUUUUAAAGUUUAUUGUUUUUGGGUAAUUAAGUUGAAAAGAAUUGUAAUAUUGGGGUUUAUGUUUGGAUCUUGCAAUUUUGGAUAGAUUGAAGUUUGCAUCUUCACAUGAGUGGAUGAAACAUGAAGGCGCAGUGGCAACAACUGCAAAGGUAAGCUCUCUGAUUAAUCUUUUAAUUCACUCUUUAUUUGCACUGUUCACGAUGCCGAUCGGAUUCAACUACAGAGCAUGCACCAUCCCCUACAGAUUCCCCUCCGACAAUCCCCGCAAGCCCACUCCCACUAAGCUCUCCUGGAUCGACCUCUUAUACAACUCCACCCCCUCCUUCAAGAAACGAGCUGAGUUCGACGCAUCAGUUCCCGAUGCUCCAACUAGAGCUAAGAAAUUUGCUCAAGGGUACACACUUUACUGAUUGUUUUGCGAUGAGUGAAUUGGGUUUUCGGAAAUGCCUGCAAUUUGUUUUGGGGGUUUUGAUUUGGUCAUGAUGUUGCAGAUUGAGACAAGCUUUGGAAAAGAAAACAAAUUGGAGUUGAUUUUGUUUGAGUUUAGUGGGGAAGUUCUCUAGCCGAUUUGGUGUGGGUAAUUUUGUGUUUAGAACUGUGAAUUCUGUGCAAAUUUCAUUUUUUCUGAUUUUGUGGAUUUUAUUUCUAGGCUAGAAUGCCGUCAUUUUCCGAAGCCCUCUGUACUCAAGGUAAGAAAUUUAAACUUUUGGUGGAUUUGGAGUUUUGAUUAAGUUUGAUCACAUUGUUUCAGUAUAAUAAUUUACAUUGAUUAAAUUGGAGUUGCAUCUAAGUUC
Non-coding RNA from Malus domestica (apple), 1395 nucleotides. NCBI's taxonomy places the organism in Eukaryota, Viridiplantae, Streptophyta, Magnoliopsida, Rosales, Rosaceae. The record is from RefSeq and is a predicted model, not a curated record.